UACGUAGGUGGCAAGCGUUGUCCGGAUUUACUGGGCGUAAAGAGCGCGCAGGCGGUCGGAUAAGUCGAAUGUGAAAGCCCCCGGCUCAACUGGGGAGGGUCAUUCGAUACUGUUCGACUCGAAGGCAGGAGAGGGAAGUGGAGUUCCCGGUGUAGUGGUGAAAUGCGUAGAUAUCGGGAGGAACACCAGUGGCGAAGGCGACUUCCUGGCCUGUUCUUGACGCUGAGGCGCGAAAGCUAGGGGAGCAAACGGG
This 253-nucleotide ribosomal RNA is filed under the name uncultured bacterium. RNAcentral describes it as "partial 16S ribosomal RNA". It matches the Rfam family "Bacterial small subunit ribosomal RNA", at positions 524 to 776 of the family's 1533-position model. The record is from RNAcentral.